GUGCCAGCCGCCGCGGUAAUACGGAGGGUGCAAGCGUUAUCCGGAUUUACUGGGUUUAAAGGGUGCGUAGGCGGUCUUUUAAGUCGGUGGUGAAAGCUCGCAGCUUAACUGUGAAACUGCCAUCGAUACUGAAAGUCUUGAAUACCUUGGAUGUGGGCGGAAUACAUCAUGUAGCGGUGAAAUGCUUAGAUAUGAUGUAGAACACCGAUUGCGAAGGCAGCUCACAACAAGGCAAUUGACGCUGAGGCACGAAAGCGUGGGUAGCAAACAGGAUUAGAAACCCCCGUAGUCC
RNAcentral lists this ribosomal RNA (292 nucleotides) under uncultured bacterium. Its description in RNAcentral is "partial 16S ribosomal RNA". It matches the Rfam family "Bacterial small subunit ribosomal RNA", at positions 505 to 796 of the family's 1533-position model. The record is from RNAcentral.